RNAcentral lists this ribosomal RNA (446 nucleotides) under uncultured bacterium. RNAcentral's name for it is "partial 16S ribosomal RNA". It matches the Rfam family "Bacterial small subunit ribosomal RNA", at positions 330 to 793 of the family's 1533-position model. The record is from RNAcentral.
ACCAGACUCCUACGGGAGGCAGCAGUGGGGGAUAUUGCACAAUGGGGGGAACCCUGAUGCAGCGACGCCGCGUGGGUGAAGAAGCGCCUCGGCGCGUAAAGCCCUGUCAGCAGGGAAGAAAAUGACGGUACCUGAAGAAGAAGCCCCGGCUAACUACGUGCCAGCAGCCGCGGUAAUACGUAGGGGGCAAGCGUUAUCCGGAUUUACUGGGUGUAAAGGGGGCGCAGACGGCGAUGCAAGCCAGGAGUGAAAGCCCGGGGCCCAACCCCGGGACUGCUCUUGGAACUGCGCGGCUGGAGUGCAGGAGGGGCAGGCGGAAUUCCUGGUGUAGCGGUGAAAUGCGUAGAUAUUAGGAGGAACACCAGUGGCGAAGGCGGCCUGCUGGACGAUGACUGACGCUGAGGCUCGAAAGCGUGGGGAGCAAACAGGAUUAGAUACCCUCGUAG